Magnolia sinica is the source of this 1726-nucleotide long non-coding RNA. RefSeq lists it as uncharacterized. Lineage: Eukaryota; Viridiplantae; Streptophyta; Magnoliopsida; Magnoliales; Magnoliaceae. The transcript is spliced from 3 exons. The record is from RefSeq and is a predicted model, not a curated record.
UUGAUGAAACAUAUAGUGCAUGGUGGCCCACACACAAACCUAUGAUCAUCAUCUCAUUCUUACUUCUUCAUAUGGUAUGAGCCAUUUGAGCUGUAGAUCUAGCUGAGUUUUCGCCUUACUACCUAAGGUCAAGUUCAAAAGCUGAGGGAUGGAGUGGAUUUAUAUUUAAAACAUUGUGAGCCCUACAUACUUAACUCUAAUCCACUGAUCAUUAGAUCCAAUACAUAUUUACCAUGGGAAAAUCACACCAAUUUACAAAUAUUAACCAUUUUAUAGUGGUCUUUAAUAUGAUUGUUCAAGAUCAUUUACACAAAAUAAGUCACCAUAAACAAUCUGAUCCAUCUAUUUGUUGAAAAAUGGCAGAAUGAGAUAAAGGACCUUCGAGUGCUUGAUGCAUCAAAUGAACAAGCCAGUAACCGUUUGUACAAUGCUCGGUAUCUACUUCAGAAUGUUCACAUGAACUCUUGAAACAAGCAGGAAGCAGCUGCAUGCAAUUCUGUUCAAGUGAGGGGCCUUGAGCCUUGGGGCUUUUUCAGUGUGGUACACUGGACUUCGAUUGAAAAAGUAGGGAAAAAGACCUUUAAAAUCACAUUUAAGACAACCCUCUUUAACUGAGAUUCUUUGACAUUAACAGCGCUUGUGUAGGAGAAUUACAUCUCACAUGGAGAAACAGGUACUAAAAAGUAGACUGUGAACAAGCAUGAAGCCAAUAAGCACAUACGCACUACAUAGCAUCUCAAAGCAGGAAGUUGCAGGGAUCAUCAAGCUUUCAGCACCAUCCAGUUUCCGUCUAUUUGAAAACUAAAAAAUUGGUGAUUUAAUAGCCAUGGAUGCUGAUGCAACCUUAGAACUGCAUAAGAGAGGGGUGGCUACAACUGGUGACAACAGCAAGUUCAUAUGGCAUCGGUUACAGGUAUCUCUCAGCUUCAAUUUUUCCCGAAUUUCAGUUUCAGGUAUCUCUCACUUCAAUUUUAUCCGAAUUUCAGUUUCAGGUAUAUCUCAGCUUCAAUUUCAGUUCCAGUGUUGUCAGAGCACUAUAAGACAUGGUGCUUCUAGUUUCAUUGGGACACUUAGACAGUCCAACCAUUGAUCACGAUUGUUCAUUGGGUUCACUGCACAUUUCAUGAGCUAUCAUGCGAACAUCACAUCGAUUUGACAAAUAAGAACCAUUUGAUCAAUAGUUCUUUAAUAUGGAUGGUCAAGAAAAUUUAUACAAAGGUAGGUCCAAACACCAAUUUGAUCCGUCUAUUUGUUAGGGCCUGCCAUGGAUUGCUUAUGGAUCUAAAGAAUCACUUUUGUUAAGCAAUCGUAACCAUCACAUCCAUGGCUUUGAAAAUGGAUGGCUAUGGAAAGUAAGGCCAAAUCAAUGAUGGAUGGGAUAUUCUGAUCGGUAUGAUUUUUGUAUGAUACUUAUGAAAGUGUUCUGGACUUAACAGACAGUUUGGAUAGACUAAAUGGACUGUCCCAAUGAACCAAUGCAACUAGGAGACUUACCUUGUAGUGCUCUAAGGGCACUGGAGCAGUUCUCUCUUUUGAGUCAUGCUCUAUCCCCAGUUAGGUUAAUGAUUUGAAUGGCCUAGAUUAAUGUUCCCUCCGUUUUAUCCAAUACAAUGAGCACUCUCUAGGGCGUUUUUGGACUUGAUCCUUUUUCCUUGUAUGAAGUAUUUACUUGUGGAAUGUAGUUAUGUAGUUCUAUUUGAUUGAUUCUUGUCCUUUUUUGUGAUUU